RNAcentral lists this ribosomal RNA (460 nucleotides) under uncultured bacterium. RNAcentral's name for it is "partial 16S ribosomal RNA". It matches the Rfam family "Bacterial small subunit ribosomal RNA", at positions 338 to 795 of the family's 1533-position model. The record is from RNAcentral.
CCUACGGGUGGCAGCAGUGAGGAAUAUUGGUCAAUGGGCGGAAGCCUGAACCAGCCAAGUAGCGUGCAGGAUGACGGCCCUACGGGUCGUAAACCGCUUUUAUACGGGAAUAACGCGCCUUACGUGUAGGGCUUUGCAUGUACCUUAUGAAUAAGGACCGGCUAAUUCCGUGCCAGCAGCCGCGGUAAUACGGAAGGUCCGGGCGUUAUCCGGAUUUAUUGGGUUUAAAGGGGGCGUAGGCGGCCUGUCAAGCGUGCUGUGAAAGGUCCGGGCUCAACCCGGGCCUUGCAGUGGAAACUGGCGUGCUGGAGUCCGCGGGAGGCAGGCGGAAUUCGUGGUGUAGCGGUGAAAUGCUUAGAUAUGACGAAGAACCCCGAUUGCGAAGGCAGCUUGCUGCAGCGGAACUGACGCUGAUGCUCGAAAGCGCGGGUAUCGAACAGGAUUAGAUACCCGGGUAGUC